RNAcentral lists this transfer RNA (78 nucleotides) under Alphaproteobacteria bacterium. Its description in RNAcentral is "tRNA-Pro". It matches the Rfam family "tRNA". From Rfam's summary of the family: Transfer RNA (tRNA) molecules are approximately 80 nucleotides in length. Their secondary structure includes four short double-helical elements and three loops (D, anti-codon, and T loops). Lineage: Bacteria; Pseudomonadati; Pseudomonadota; Alphaproteobacteria. The record is from RNAcentral. RNAcentral also lists the same sequence under 1 other name.
CGGAGCGUGGCGCAGCCUGGUUAGCGCACUUGUCUGGGGGACAAGGGGUCGCCGGUUCAAAUCCGGCCGCUCCGACCA